RNAcentral lists this transfer RNA (70 nucleotides) under Dipodomys ordii (Ord's kangaroo rat). It matches the Rfam family "tRNA". From Rfam's summary of the family: Transfer RNA (tRNA) molecules are approximately 80 nucleotides in length. Their secondary structure includes four short double-helical elements and three loops (D, anti-codon, and T loops). The record is from Rfam by way of RNAcentral. Lineage: Eukaryota; Metazoa; Chordata; Mammalia; Rodentia; Heteromyidae.
GGGAAUGUGGCUCAGUGGUAGAGUGUUUGCCUAGCAUGCAUGAAGCGUGGAGUUCGAUUCCUCAGUACCA